RNAcentral lists this non-coding RNA (98 nucleotides) under Bacillus sp. (in: firmicutes). RNAcentral's name for it is "Bacillus sp. SAM-I sequence". It matches the Rfam family "SAM riboswitch aptamer (S box leader)". Rfam says of the family: The SAM riboswitch is found upstream of a number of genes which code for proteins involved in methionine or cysteine biosynthesis in Gram-positive bacteria. The SAM riboswitch acts at the level of transcription termination control. The record is from RNAcentral. Lineage: Bacteria; Bacillati; Bacillota; Bacilli; Caryophanales; Bacillaceae.
CUCUUAUCGAGAGAGGUGGAGGGACUGGCCCAAUGAAACCCGGCAACCGUUAAAAGUGGUGCUAAAUCCUGCAAAGCAUAAGCUUUGAAAGAUGAGAU